AUUGAACGCUGGCGGCAGGCCUAACACAUGCAAGUCGAGCGGAUGAAGGGAGCUUGCUCCUGGAUUCAGCGGCGGACGGGUGAGUAAUGCCUAGGAAUCUGCCUGGUAGUGGGGGAUAACGUCCGGAAACGGGCGCUAAUACCGCACACGUCCUGAGGGAGAAAGUGGGGGAUCUUCGGACCUCACGCUAUCAGAUGAGCCUAGGUCGGAUUAGCUAGUUGGUGGGGUAAAGGCCUACCAAGGCGACGAUCCGUAACUGGUCUGAGAGGAUGAUCAGUCACACUGGAACUGAGACACGGUCCAGGCUCCUACGGGAGGCAGCAGUGGGGAAUAUUGGACAAUGGGCGAAAGCCUGAUCCAGCCAUGCCGCGUGUGUGAAGAAGGUCUUCGGAUUGUAAAGCACUUUAAGUUGGGAGGAAGGGCAGUAAGUUAAUACCUUGCUGUUUUGACGUUACCAACAGAAUAAGCACCGGCUAACUUCGUG
RNAcentral lists this ribosomal RNA (484 nucleotides) under uncultured bacterium. RNAcentral's name for it is "partial 16S ribosomal RNA". It matches the Rfam family "Bacterial small subunit ribosomal RNA", at positions 30 to 507 of the family's 1533-position model. The record is from RNAcentral.